ACCCCAUGUAAACACCCCUUUUCUCCCUCCUGUACACGUGGCUUCCCCUCAGGCAGCAACUCACCUCCUUCUCUGCUUCCCCUCAGGCCUUUCUUUCUUUUCCUUUUCUCUGUCUCCGCUUUAACCCUCUUUCACUCCGGAGCCCCUUUGGAUGGAAUUGUUGCCUUCUUUUCCCCCUCUCCCUCCUUCCCCUCACGCCCUUUCUGCAUUAUGUAGCUGCCCCUCUCUACCUCUCCGCCACCACCUCUGGCCCCUGAGCUCUUCUUUUUUUCACCAGAUUGGCCACUUCCUUCCCCUCGUUUCUCUCUGCUGGCCAUUAUUCGUCUGUCCAUAGGGUCGGGUAGUUAGUAGAAAUGCCACAUACCACUCCUUUUCUCUCUUUUGUGCAUGUGGCUGGCCGUUAGUCAGCAACCCACUUCCCUCUCUAUUUCCCCUGAAGCCUUUGUGUAUUUUACAGGUGUACCUGUUUUUUCUUUUUCUUUUUCUCUUUUUCUUUGUUUCUUUUCUCUUUUGCUGUUUUUUUGGUCUUUCAUGUUUGUUGUGGAAGAAGCCACGCGUUUAGACACAGUCUAGUUGUCCUGAAUUAUACCCUAGACAACUCUACUGAGCUCAGUUAGGUUGCAUGGACCAUAAAUCAGGGCGUAAACGAUUCACCCUGAAGAAAAUGACAGAGUAUUUUUAAGAGUAAUGUAUUCUCCUUUAAUGUUAGUAAUACAACAGAUGGUGCUUAUAGUUAAAAAACAUGAUACAUAUUAAAGCUCAAAAGAAUGUCUUUUUCAUUUUGUGUUUCUGAGAAUGGGUUCAUUUUGUUUCAUAAAGAAUACCAGAAAUUCUACAUUCUGGAGGGGAAAAUAUUAACUGGAGAAAAUCUGUGCGUAAGCAGAGGCAGAGUAAUAAAGAACACUCCAAUAUGUGCUCUUUUUGUGAAAUUAUAGGUUUAAUCUGCAUUUCCCAACCUUCCGGAUCGGGACUCAAAUAUGGGUCACUAUUUCAUUUCAAAAGGGGCACCCAGUGUCUCCUCAGGUGCCUCUGCCGUCCUUCUUUCACACCAUUUUUUAUUUGCUUUGGGUCCCUAAGUCUUCCUGAAUUGUCAAAAUUGUUUCCGAUCUCAAGAAGGUUGGAAACUGCUGGGUUAAAUCAUGAUUAGGGCACAUUCCUACAAGCCCACUUGAUACGUUCAUAAUGCAGUUUCUAUGGCAACAGAAUCCAUGUACCUUUUUUCUCAACCAAUCAAUAAGCAGCACAAAUUAGGGAGUCCUUGCUCCCAAUAAUAUUACUUUAAUUUGCACUCUUCCAGUGAAUCAUUUUAGUUUGAUUUUAUUUCAGCAAAACUGAAAAAUGAAUGUCAUGUACUUUAGAACAGAGUGGAUGGUAAACUAUCAAGCAUAUUUUUAAGUCUCUGGAUCCUUUGUCUUCUGAACACUGUUUGCAUUCCCAGGAAAGAAAAUCUUCUCCUGGCAGCAGGUUUUGGCAUGGUGACCCUAAACGUCACAAGAUUAAUGAAAAUGGGAGUUCAAAUCCUGUGGUAUAUACCAGCUACAAAACCAGGUUACAACCCCCUAGAAACUGAUCAUUGAAAUACUGGCAAGCAAAACCUGUAUUAUAGACAGGAGAAAAGGAUUAUAAAAGGUACAAUAUUAGAGUAAAGCAAACAUCACACAAAAAAUAAAUACAGGUGCAUGUAUAUAAAUAUAUAUUAAAAAUCAAACACAAACAUUAAAUUGCUAUUACUUCAGAACAACUUAAAAUGUAUUAAAAGACUUCUGGCUUUCCUGUGCCAGUUUAUCUAGAUAUACAAUCAAAAUUGUUGUCAGAGGAGUCCACCGCAGUAUGAUGAUGAAUAAUUGCUUUAUUUUAAACUCAUUUGUUAUUUAAAUAUUGCAUUAUUUUCGGAGACUACUUGGGUAUAUGAAAUUGGCCUUUUAAUCUGUGUUUUUUCCUUGUAAAAGAUGUAUUGACUGUUCUAAUCUUGUAAAAGAUUUAUUCCUCUGUAUAUUGAGUUAUCAUGAGUGUUUCUAUGUAUUCUUCCUUCUCCAGAUUUAUAUAGUAAUUUUAUCUCUUUAAAAAUAAUCUCCUAGUUUCUUUGCCUACCCAAAUGGCCCCAGUCUUUUCUUUCUUUUCCCAUAAUGCAGUUUCCUUUACUCUUCCCAAAGAUUAGUAUAGGGUUGGGUAUUUGAGUCCCUACCUCCCCUCCUUCCCCCUCUCCCCCUCCCCUUCAUUUGAAGUUUUCGAGGGGGAAAACUCCAUUACCUCUUUCCUCAUAACGUGUUUGAAGAGAACAUAUUGCACAGCUACCGGUCAUUGUACAUAAGCCAACAAACAGCCUGUGUAGGAGACAGUGUUAUUGAACUUUUGUGGGCUAAGGUGCUAUACUUAUGGAAGAGGUUAGAUUUGGAGGGAAGUCGUGCAGAGGGACAUGAAUUCUUAAUGCACACUGUAGUACACUGUUCCCCCAGGGAGUGUACAAGUACUAAGUAAGGUGCUCAUCCUGAGUUGAAUCAUACAAAGUAGUGGAUAUCCUCACCAUUUGGGAAUAACAGAUCUAGUAUUUGUGUGUUUAGCAGUUAGGGGACUAGACACUACAACACAGGAGAGUGCUUGGGUGGCUAACAAGCUGGAGAGCUGAGACUCUUAUGACUGGAGUAGUGUGGUGGAAUACUUGCAUAGUGGAGAGCAGAGGUUUCAGUAAAUGCCUGGACCUGAUCUGACCUUUAGGAAGCACCCUGCUGAAAGAAUAUAGUGACAAGCCCUAUGAUAAGUUACUAGAAAUCUAGUCCUAGUUUAAAGCAGUACCCUAAAGCUGUGUCUAGACUGGCCAGUUUUCCGUCUAUGAACACUAAAGAUACACUUUUACACAUUUCUCUGAUUCUCACAGAAGUUCAAAUGGAUAAACUUGGCUGCAUAAAUGACUAAAAUAAAAUGCUUCCAAAUAUAAUUUAUAUGUCAAGGCCAAAGUAUUUUAAAAUGUAUCCUAAUCAAUUUGUUUGCUGAAGUAAUGUAGUGUGCUGUUUGGGAAAAAAAUACAAGCCAGCUUCUACAUGCAUUCAAUGUAAAUGGAAACAUAUAUAUUUAUCUCCAUAAUGAAAAACACAGCAACCCAUCAUCCCUUCCCUCUCCCUGAAAAAGCAUCUGGGAUUGGAAAGGCCAGAAUCAUGACUGAUGCAAGUCUUUUGACUCUGUGUUUAUCAUUGCUAUAUUGAAUGUGAAAUUAGGAAUGUGCAAAACCAUGCGUGGCUUUGUUUUUGUUUGUUUUUUUCAAGUAAGGUUCAGAGCUGGAUUCUACUUUAUCUGAAAUCCUGAAGUUUGGAGAAAAAGGAAAGGUUCAGAUGAAGACUGCCGGCUAUGACUCAUGCCUACUACGCAGUACAUUACAAAUGUUUAAUUUCACCAAAAUCUCUUAUAAGAAAAAUACUGCAGUUGAUGGCUUUCUUUUUAGCUGUGGUGUUAAUAAAAGCUGCUGAUGUCAUAACUGAACAACAAACACA
Pelodiscus sinensis (Chinese soft-shelled turtle) is the source of this 3485-nucleotide non-coding RNA. NCBI's taxonomy places the organism in Eukaryota, Metazoa, Chordata, Testudines, Trionychidae. The record is from RefSeq and is a predicted model, not a curated record.